UGGGGAAUAUUGGACAAUGGGCGCAAGCCUGAUCCAGCCAUGCCGCGUGUGUGAAGAAGGCCUUUUGGUUGUAAAGCACUUUAAGCGAGGAGGAGGCUACUUGGAUUAAUACUCUAGGAUAGUGGACGUUACUCGCAGAAUAGCACCGGCUAACUCUGUGCCAGCAGCCGCGGUAAUACAGAGGGUGCGAGCGUUAAUCGGAUUUACUGGGCGUAAAGCAUGCGUAGGCGGCUUUUUAAGUCGGAUGUGAAAUCCCUGAGCUUAACUUAGGAAUUGCAUUCGAUACUGGGAAGCUAGAGUAUGGGAGAGGAUGGUAGAAUUCCAGGUGUAGCGGUGAAAUGCGUAGAGAUCUGGAGGAAUACCGAUGGCGAAGGCAGCCAUCUGGCCUAAUACUGACGCUGAGGUACGAAAGCAUGGGGAGCAAACAGG
RNAcentral lists this ribosomal RNA (429 nucleotides) under Verrucomicrobiota bacterium. RNAcentral's name for it is "Verrucomicrobia bacterium partial 16S ribosomal RNA". It matches the Rfam family "Bacterial small subunit ribosomal RNA", at positions 355 to 776 of the family's 1533-position model. The record is from RNAcentral. Lineage: Bacteria; Pseudomonadati; Verrucomicrobiota.